AGAGAGAGAGAGAGAGAGAGGAAAUUCGUGGAAAUUCGUCUAACAGUGGUUGAGCUUACUAACCAUUUUCAGCUGCAGUUUAAAUGUUUUGAUGUUCGGUCAGCAACUCUCAGAUCUCCGGAUGGGCCAUGCCAUGAUCAGCUUCGAUUGAUCUGCCUGGCUCCCUGAAUGCCAUCUUAGAAGCUUGUCAAGAUGGUUGAUUCACUUCCUAGUUGGCUUUCGGGGGGCCAUGCAGGCCCAAAAGAGACGGAUCCAGUACUUGCAGGUGCAUUUCAAUCAGAACACCUCUCUUUUAUAUAUGUACCUAUUAAUAAAGUAUUGAUGCAAAGGUAACUUAGUAAGAGGUUUACUUGAAUACAUCAAUACAUUUGUAUGUAUUGUAAUAUAGUACAUUAGGACUUUAGCCCUUAAUAUGAAUCAUCUUUCAAUGAUCCAAACCGUUUAUGAGACAAUUCUUACUUUGUAUAGUGGACUUACAGUCAAUAAAUAAAAGCACCUAGUUUGAAUAUUUGAAG
This is a long non-coding RNA of Magnolia sinica, 515 nucleotides long. RefSeq lists it as uncharacterized. The record is from RefSeq and is a predicted model, not a curated record. Lineage: Eukaryota; Viridiplantae; Streptophyta; Magnoliopsida; Magnoliales; Magnoliaceae. The transcript has 2 exons.